This 256-nucleotide ribosomal RNA is filed under the name uncultured bacterium. Its description in RNAcentral is "partial 16S ribosomal RNA". It matches the Rfam family "Bacterial small subunit ribosomal RNA", at positions 524 to 776 of the family's 1533-position model. The record is from RNAcentral.
UACGGAGGGUGCAAGCGUUAAUCGGAAUUACUGGGCGUAAAGCGCACGCAGGCGGUCUGUCAAGUCGGAUGUGAAAUCCCCGGGCUCAACCUGGGAACUGCAUUCGAAACUGGCAGGCUAGAGUCUUGUAGAGGGGGGUAGAAUUACCUCAGGUGUAGCGGUGAAAUGCGUAGAGAUCUGGAGGAAUACCGGUGGCGAAGGCGGCCCCCUGGACAAAGACUGACGCUCAGGUGCGAAAGCGUGGGGAGCAAACAGG